AAGUUUUGAAGUAAUUCAAAGGAUGAGAAUCCCAGUACCUAUAAACACCAAAAUUUCAAUAAAAUUAAACCAAACGAACACUCCAAUACGAAACCAAAAUCCUCUUUAUUCUUAACAUACCAAAUAUCCGAACAACCGUAGCUAUACUAAAUUGGUGGAAUCACUUACCCUGAGAACAAUGACCCAUAGCAAUCACCCCGCCGGAGGAACACUUACUGUCUCGCAAAUUUCCCCUAAUUACUCAUUAACAACAAACCAAAAGAAAAGUACAAAAUCCUUUUACUUACACAAAUAUCUCAAAAACUCCCAACCUAUUCAUCAAUUUCCCUAGACCCAACCCAGAUACUUACCAAAUCAAUAGUAAAAUAAAUUUGAACGACAAAGAUCUCCAAACGAAACUGAUUAAACAGAAGGCAAAAAGGAGAAUCCUAAAAUUAAUCUUUAAUUUGUUCGCAAAUGAAGGAAAACAGAAACAGAGAGUGAAGGAACACAAAAAAAAAAGCCAAAAAAAAGUAGAAAAAUGUGGGAAAAAGGAAGUUGUUUUUUAGGGUUACUAAAACCAAAAAAAUAAAAAUAAAAAUAAACAACCUAAGAUAAUCCCAAAAACCCUAUCCUACAACUUGAUAACUAACCAGUAUUUGAUUUUCAAUCCAAUUCCACCCUAUGCACCUUUGACCGAAAAUUGGAAAAACUAAACAUUUUUUACUCACGCCAAGAUUUGAACCCAAGCCCUCAGACACAAAUUUGAGACCC
RNAcentral lists this long non-coding RNA (753 nucleotides) under Gossypium raimondii (Peruvian cotton). Its description in RNAcentral is "long non-coding RNA (GRAI_LNC000501)". Lineage: Eukaryota; Viridiplantae; Streptophyta; Magnoliopsida; Malvales; Malvaceae. The record is from RNAcentral.